ACUCGAUAAUAUGGUCAUUGACGCUGUAAGUCCUUGAACCGCUCCCAUGCCUCAUACAAAGAUUUACCAUGGUGUUGAGUGAAACUUGCAAUCUUUUGUCUAAAUUU
This is a non-coding RNA of Ricinus communis (castor bean), 107 nucleotides long. NCBI's taxonomy places the organism in Eukaryota, Viridiplantae, Streptophyta, Magnoliopsida, Malpighiales, Euphorbiaceae. The record is from Rfam.